RNAcentral lists this unclassified non-coding RNA (240 nucleotides) under soil metagenome. RNAcentral's name for it is "partial contains 5.8S ribosomal RNA, internal transcribed spacer 2, and large subunit ribosomal RNA". The record is from RNAcentral.
AACCUAGCACACCUGCGGUGUGUACCUGCGGAAGGAUCAUUAAUAAAAACAUGGCCUAACAGCCUAAAACCUUUGGUUUUACAACCAAAACAACCUUGUGUGCACUGUAAUCGUCUCUCUUUUGGCGGAUUUGAAGUCUGGCCUUGGUGGACUCUUCGUGAUAAAGUUUUUAUUAUGAUGAGCACACAUAUGAGCUAGUGCCGCCAAAAGGAAAAUUUACAAACUUUUUUAAAAUCUUUG